UGUAAAUUGGCCCUUCCUACGAUCCACUCAGCAAUUGGAGAUUGUUUUGUGGUUCCCAGAUGUUGGAUCUAUACUAGUCUUCUUGAUUCAUUUUUCCAAUUGUUGCUUGCUUUUUGAUUGACAUCUAUAUUUUAAGUUGGGAGAUAUACUCUAACUCUUUCUGGAGGAGGAGGUUAAAACAAGGUAAGGCUUGGACUCGGGUCCCAUCU
Molecule: long non-coding RNA, 209 nt
Organism: Arabidopsis thaliana (thale cress)
Lineage: Eukaryota; Viridiplantae; Streptophyta; Magnoliopsida; Brassicales; Brassicaceae
Product: other RNA
Exons: 1
Source: RefSeq